This 177-nucleotide ribosomal RNA is filed under the name uncultured actinomycete. RNAcentral's name for it is "partial 16S ribosomal RNA". It matches the Rfam family "Bacterial small subunit ribosomal RNA", at positions 338 to 526 of the family's 1533-position model. The record is from RNAcentral. Lineage: Bacteria; Bacillati; Actinomycetota; Actinomycetes; Actinomycetales.
CCUACGGGAGGCAGCAGUGGNCUUUAUUGGACAAUGGGCGAAAGCCUGAUCCAGCAAUGCCCCUUUGUGUGAAGAAGGCCUGCGGGUUGUAAAGCACUUUCAGGAGGGACGAAGCGAAAGUGACGGUACCUCCAGACCAACCCCCGGCCAACUACGUGCCAGCAGCCGCGGUAAUAA